UGGCUCUCGCAUCGAUGAAGAACGCAGCGAAAUGCGAUAAGUAAUGUGAAUUGCAGAAUUCAGUGAAUCAUCGAAUCUUUGAACGCACCUUGCGCUCCUUGGUAUUCCGAGGAGCAUGCCUGUUUGAGUGUCAUGAAAUCUUCAACCUGCAAGCUUAUGUGGUUUGUAGGCUUGGACUUGGAGGCUUUGUCGGCCAUGCCCGGUCGGCUCCUCUCAAAUGCAUUAGCUUGGUUCCUUGCGGAUCGGCUCUCGGUGUGAUAAUGUCUACGCCGUGACCGUGAAGCGUUUGGCGAGCUUCUAAUCGUCUUGGUUAGAGACAGCUUUAUGACCUCUGACCUCAAAUCAGGUAGGACUACCCGCUGA
RNAcentral lists this unclassified non-coding RNA (363 nucleotides) under uncultured fungus. Its description in RNAcentral is "partial contains 5.8S ribosomal RNA and internal transcribed spacer 2". The stretch from base 1 to 133 matches the Rfam family "5.8S ribosomal RNA", at positions 22 to 154 of the family's 154-position model. Lineage: Eukaryota; Fungi. The record is from RNAcentral.